Molecule: ribosomal RNA, 241 nt
Filed under: uncultured bacterium
Lineage: Bacteria
Description: partial 16S ribosomal RNA
Rfam family: Bacterial small subunit ribosomal RNA
Source: RNAcentral
AUUCAGCGGCGGACGGGUGAGUAAUGCCUAGGAAUCUGCCUGGUAGUGGGGGAUAACGUCCGGAAACGGGCGCUAAUACCGCAUACGUCCUGAGGGAGAAAGUGGGGGAUCUUCGGACCUCACGCUAUCAGAUGAGCCUAGGUCGGAUUAGCUAGUUGGUGGGGUAAAGGCCUACCAAGGCGACGAUCGGUAGCCGGACUGAGAGGUUGAACGGCCACAUUGGGACUGAGACACGGCCCAG